RNAcentral lists this ribosomal RNA (497 nucleotides) under uncultured bacterium. RNAcentral describes it as "partial 16S ribosomal RNA". It matches the Rfam family "Bacterial small subunit ribosomal RNA", at positions 28 to 507 of the family's 1533-position model. The record is from RNAcentral.
GAUGAACGCUGGCGGCGUGCCUAAUACAUGCAAGUCGAGCGAACAGAUAAGGAGCUUGCUCCUUUGACGUUAGCGGCGGACGGGUGAGUAACACGUGGGUAACCUACCUAUAAGACUGGGAUAACUUCGGGAAACCGGAGCUAAUACCGGAUAACAUUUGGAACCGCAUGGUUCUAAAGUGAAAGAUGGUUUUGCUAUCACUUAUAGAUGGACCCGCGCCGUAUUAGCUAGUUGGUAAGGUAACGGCUUACCAAGGCAACGAUACGUAGCCGACCUGAGAGGGUGAUCGGCCACACUGGAACUGAGACACGGUCAAGACUCCUACGGGAGGCAGCAGUAGGGAAUCUUCCGCAAUGGGCGAAAGCCUGACGGAGCAACGCCGCGUGAGUGAUGAAGGGGUUCGGCUCGUAAAACUCUGUUAUUAGGGAAGAACAAACGUGUAAGUAACUGUGCACGUCUUGACGGUACCUAAUCAGAAAGCCACGGCUAACUACGUG